CGAAACUUCCGUACCCUCUUCCUGAGUCACCACGAAGGCCUGGACAAUGCAGUCCCUGCGCUGCGGUCGGACAUGGGCAGGGCCCCACUUCCUCCUUCCUGCAGGGAUAUCCUUCCUUUCCUAUAGAAGAGACAUCUGAGGCAGGCUCCGCUCCGACACAGAACUGGCGAUUCAUGCUGAACGUAAAGGCAAGCGUGCCUGUUUUCCAGGGCUGCCAUGCCAACUCCAGCAGCAGAAAGAAGUUGACAGGGGCCAGGAGGCCCACUUGUGCCAAGGGUUUGGCACCUUGGAGGGUGUAGUGGAGCGUGCAGUUCCCAAGCUGGCUGCGUGUGGAGUGGCUCGCAGCAUCUGGACGGGCUUACAGUAGUGUGGAAAUCUGCAUCGGUGCACGUAAAACCAAAACCAAACCAAACAAAAGGGAGAAAAAAACAAAACAAAAACAAAAAACCAAUUCAUUAUAUUUCAAUACAUAUGUUUAUCUGUGAGUAUGUAUUUAAAAUGGCACGUAAAAUUUGCCCGAGGGCAUGCUGCAAGCUAAGGUUGCUGGAGAAUGGCUACACCUCUGGAUGUCUUUCCAGUGCAGAAAGCUGGGAAAGGUGAAACCCCACACCUGAGCAUCCCAGAUGCUGGCGUUUUAAUUUGUGUGCAGGAACUGGAGAGGUGCUCUUUGUCCAAGGUGGAUGAACAUAGCUGGCCUCAGGCCAAGGCUAAGUAAUUAGUGGGAAAUAUUCAAUUAUUUAGAAUGAAUAUACACCAUCUCUAUUGCUACUACAAAAAAAAUCAACUAAGUCUAUGUUGCCCAGUGAUCUUUUCAGUAGCUAUAUUUGUAUUUAAACAUUUUUUUGUGUUAAAGUUAAAUAAAACUUAGAAUCUCUAAAAAAAAAAAAAAAAAAA
Molecule: long non-coding RNA, 894 nt
Filed under: Mus musculus (house mouse)
Lineage: Eukaryota; Metazoa; Chordata; Mammalia; Rodentia; Muridae
Description: predicted gene, 17745 (Gm17745)
Source: RNAcentral